Molecule: ribosomal RNA, 469 nt
Filed under: embryophyte environmental sample
Lineage: Eukaryota; Viridiplantae; Streptophyta
Description: eukaryotic LSU rRNA
Rfam family: 5.8S ribosomal RNA (bases 51-208)
Source: RNAcentral
AGAAGUCGUAACAAGGUUUCCGUAGGUGAACUUGCGGACAAAACCAUAAUGACUCUCGGGCAACGGAUAUACUCGGCUCUCGCAUCGAUGAAGAACGUAGCGAAAUGCGAUACUUAGUGUGAAUUGCAGAAUCCCGCGAAUCAUCGAGUCUUUGAACGCAAGUUGCGCCCCAAGCCUUCUGGCCGAGGGCACGUCUGCCUAGGUGUCACGCAUCGUUGCCCCCAACCCCAUCGCCCUGCAAAGAGGCGGUGGGGGCAUGCGGGGCGGACAUUGGCCUCCCGUGGGCUGAUGCCUGCGGCUGGCCUAAAAACGAGUCCUCGGCGACGAUCGCCACGACAAUCGGUGGUUGACAAACCUUCGUGACCCGUCGUGCGCGCAUCGCCGCUCAACGCGUGCUCUUUUGACCCUGUCGCGUCGCGCUCGCGACGCUUCCAACGCGACCCCAGGUCAGGCGGGACUACCCGCUGAG